Long non-coding RNA from Homo sapiens (human), 1149 nucleotides. Ensembl annotates it as long intergenic non-protein coding RNA 1491. NCBI's taxonomy places the organism in Eukaryota, Metazoa, Chordata, Mammalia, Primates, Hominidae. The record is from Ensembl.
AGGCCUGUGACCACAGAAAAAGUAGCCAGCCCACCAUCCCUAGAUGAUUUUGCAGUCUUUGCACACCAGUGUGGCCAUAGGCUUGUUUUCUCCUGGACUGAGCCUGCAGAUCCUAUGAGCAAGCAUAUGUCCUGUGCUCCACUAGUCCUAGCUGGAUCGUGGACAUAUUACCAUCAUUACAAAUAUCAAUAGUUUGUGAUUACUUCAAACAAUCUGAAGUUGAAGGACCCCAGAUAUCCUUCAAAACAGGAAUCUGCAGGCAGAUGCUGAAACCAUGAAUACAGAGGGACAACUAUACGCUGACAUAGUUUUAUGAAUGCAAACAGCCAAGGAGAGCAGAUGUUGAGUGGUUGCCAGAGUGAAAUGAGGAAGCCCUGCUGCCAGCUUCCCACCAAAAAGCAGGCUCCGGCCCUGAACGCAGGAGAGUUGCUAAAGAAGUUGCUCACAGAGGCGGGAGAGAGCAGGCUACUGGUUUCCUUCAAAAUGGAAUAGGAAACAGAAAACGUGCAUCAUUUCUUCGCACUUGAAUCAGCAACAUGACACAGGACUUUGGCAUCAGACUACUAUCACACCAAAAAAAGAGGCUUCACUUGGAGUGCUGCCACUGGAUGGGGCCUGACUUGUUUAUCCGGAAAGAAGUGACUUCCCUGGGAAGAAGGUUGCAUUUGUGAAAGCUUGUGCAGCAUUUCAAGGCUGCAUUCAGGUAUCAGAAAACUGAAGCCCCUACUCAAAAACCUUACUAGUCAAGCCCAUGCCUAUGUGUGCACUUAUACAAUCAUUCUGCCUGAAUUUUUCCCUCACCAUGAGAAGCUUUUGUUCAGCUUUCCUCAAUGAAGACAAAAUAAUAAUAAUUAAAAUAUCAGUAGCUAAUAUCUGUAGGGUACUUACUAGUGCCAGUGCUGCCUAAACACUAGUUUAAUCUUCACAAGUCCCCUAAAAGAGAUACAUAUGGUUAUUGACUCCAUUUAACAGAUUUGGAAACUGAGUAUAGUUUAGUCUUUGGCAGAGGGCAAAUUCAUACCGUGUAUAGGUUAAUAAGCGGCAGAGAUCAUGAUACAACUGCAGGCCCACUGGCUUUGGAGCCUCCCACCCACCUGCAAAAACUAUCGCAAAAGCAAAGACAUGAAAUAAAUUUAUUUUAGUUGAUGC